AUCCAGGUGACGAGUCCCGAAUAGGACGAAACGCGCGUCCUGGAU
RNAcentral lists this non-coding RNA (45 nucleotides) under Schistosoma margrebowiei. Lineage: Eukaryota; Metazoa; Platyhelminthes; Trematoda; Strigeidida; Schistosomatidae. The record is from RNAcentral.